RNAcentral lists this long non-coding RNA (237 nucleotides) under Elaeis guineensis (African oil palm). Its description in RNAcentral is "long non-coding RNA (EGUI_LNC036569)". Lineage: Eukaryota; Viridiplantae; Streptophyta; Magnoliopsida; Arecales; Arecaceae. The record is from RNAcentral.
UCUUCGCAGUACCCUUGUUCUUAAAGGAGCGCUUAACGGGACCACCUUCGAUCAUCUUUUCCGACAUCCACUCCUCCUUCCCCCGCUAGGUCUUUGCCCGAUGCCUCCCCGCAAAGCAUCCAUGCGACAAUCCACAGCCUCCACGGCCAGAUCUCAAGCUCCGGACUCACCUCCAGUUUUCCAGCCUCCUCCUCCUCCUCCGGCAAUGGUGGUUGGCGCGGAGCAAUUCGACCUGCU